RNAcentral lists this transfer RNA (69 nucleotides) under Marmota monax (woodchuck). It matches the Rfam family "tRNA". From Rfam's summary of the family: Transfer RNA (tRNA) molecules are approximately 80 nucleotides in length. Their secondary structure includes four short double-helical elements and three loops (D, anti-codon, and T loops). Lineage: Eukaryota; Metazoa; Chordata; Mammalia; Rodentia; Sciuridae. The record is from Rfam by way of RNAcentral.
GGAGUUGUGGCUCAGCGAUAGAGCGUACACCUCAUAUGUGCAAGGUGCUGGGUUCAAUCCUCAGCACCA